RNAcentral lists this ribosomal RNA (2901 nucleotides) under Klebsiella pneumoniae subsp. pneumoniae ST258-K28BO. RNAcentral describes it as "LSU rRNA". It matches the Rfam family "Bacterial large subunit ribosomal RNA". The record is from RNAcentral. Lineage: Bacteria; Pseudomonadati; Pseudomonadota; Gammaproteobacteria; Enterobacterales; Enterobacteriaceae.
GGUUAAGCGACUAAGCGUACACGGUGGAUGCCCUGGCAGUCAGAGGCGAUGAAGGACGUGCUAAUCUGCGAAAAGCGUCGGUAAGGUGAUAUGAACCGUUAUAACCGGCGAUGUCCGAAUGGGGAAACCCAGUGCAAUUCGUUGCACUAUCGUUAACUGAAUACAUAGGUUAACGAGGCGAACCGGGGGAACUGAAACAUCUAAGUACCCCGAGGAAAAGAAAUCAACCGAGAUUCCCCCAGUAGCGGCGAGCGAACGGGGAGCAGCCCAGAGUCUGAAUCAGCUUGUGUGUUAGUGGAACGGUCUGGAAAGUCCGACGGUACAGGGUGAUAGUCCCGUACACCAAAAUGCACAGGCUGUGAACUCGAAGAGUAGGGCGGGACACGUGGUAUCCUGUCUGAAUAUGGGGGGACCAUCCUCCAAGGCUAAAUACUCCUGACUGACCGAUAGUGAACCAGUACCGUGAGGGAAAGGCGAAAAGAACCCCGGCGAGGGGAGUGAAAAAGAACCUGAAACCGUGUACGUACAAGCAGUGGGAGCACCUUCGGGUGUGACUGCGUACCUUUUGUAUAAUGGGUCAGCGACUUAUAUUCUGUAGCAAGGUUAACCGUAUAGGGGAGCCGCAGGGAAACCGAGUCUUAACUGGGCGUUAAGUUGCAGGGUAUAGACCCGAAACCCGGUGAUCUAGCCAUGGGCAGGUUGAAGGUUGGGUAACACUAACUGGAGGACCGAACCGACUAAUGUUGAAAAAUUAGCGGAUGACUUGUGGCUGGGGGUGAAAGGCCAAUCAAACCGGGAGAUAGCUGGUUCUCCCCGAAAGCUAUUUAGGUAGCGCCUCGUGAACUCAUCUUCGGGGGUAGAGCACUGUUUCGGCUAGGGGGUCAUCCCGACUUACCAACCCGAUGCAAACUACGAAUACCGAAGAAUGUUAUCACGGGAGACACACGGCGGGUGCUAACGUCCGUCGUGAAGAGGGAAACAACCCAGACCGCCAGCUAAGGUCCCAAAGUCAUGGUUAAGUGGGAAACGAUGUGGGAAGGCACAGACAGCCAGGAUGUUGGCUUAGAAGCAGCCAUCAUUUAAAGAAAGCGUAAUAGCUCACUGGUCGAGUCGGCCUGCGCGGAAGAUGUAACGGGGCUAAACCAUGCACCGAAGCUGCGGCAGCGACACUAUGUGUUGUUGGGUAGGGGAGCGUUCUGUAAGCCUGCGAAGGUGUGCUGUGAGGCAUGCUGGAGGUAUCAGAAGUGCGAAUGCUGACAUAAGUAACGAUAAAGCGGGUGAAAAGCCCGCUCGCCGGAAGACCAAGGGUUCCUGUCCAACGUUAAUCGGGGCAGGGUGAGUCGACCCCUAAGGCGAGGCCGAAAGGCGUAGUCGAUGGGAAACAGGUUAAUAUUCCUGUACUUGGUGUUACUGCGAAGGGGGGACGGAGAAGGCUAUGUUAGCCGGGCGACGGUUGUCCCGGUUUAAGCAUGUAGGCUGAUUGUCCAGGCAAAUCCGGAUAAUCAAGGCUGAGGUGUGAUGACGAGGCACUACGGUGCUGAAGUAACAAAUGCCCUGCUUCCAGGAAAAGCCUCUAAGCAUCAGGUAACAUCAAAUCGUACCCCAAACCGACACAGGUGGUCAGGUAGAGAAUACCAAGGCGCUUGAGAGAACUCGGGUGAAGGAACUAGGCAAAAUGGUGCCGUAACUUCGGGAGAAGGCACGCUGGUGUGUAGGUGAAGUCCCUGCGGAUGGAGCUGAGACCAGUCGAAGAUACCAGCUGGCUGCAACUGUUUAUUAAAAACACAGCACUGUGCAAACACGAAAGUGGACGUAUACGGUGUGACGCCUGCCCGGUGCCGGAAGGUUAAUUGAUGGGGUUAUCCGUAAGGAGAAGCUCUUGAUCGAAGCCCCGGUAAACGGCGGCCGUAACUAUAACGGUCCUAAGGUAGCGAAAUUCCUUGUCGGGUAAGUUCCGACCUGCACGAAUGGCGUAAUGAUGGCCAGGCUGUCUCCACCCGAGACUCAGUGAAAUUGAACUCGCUGUGAAGAUGCAGUGUACCCGCGGCAAGACGGAAAGACCCCGUGAACCUUUACUAUAGCUUGACACUGAACAUUGAGCCUUGAUGUGUAGGAUAGGUGGGAGGCUUUGAAGCGUGGACGCCAGUCUGCGUGGAGCCAACCUUGAAAUACCACCCUUUAAUGUUUGAUGUUCUAACGUUGGCCCCUGACCGGGGUUGCGGACAGUGUCUGGUGGGUAGUUUGACUGGGGCGGUCUCCUCCCAAAGCGUAACGGAGGAGCACGAAGGUUAGCUAAUCCUGGUCGGACAUCAGGAGGUUAGUGCAAUGGCAUAAGCUAGCUUGACUGCGAGCGUGACGGCGCGAGCAGGUGCGAAAGCAGGUCAUAGUGAUCCGGUGGUUCUGAAUGGAAGGGCCAUCGCUCAACGGAUAAAAGGUACUCCGGGGAUAACAGGCUGAUACCGCCCAAGAGUUCAUAUCGACGGCGGUGUUUGGCACCUCGAUGUCGGCUCAUCACAUCCUGGGGCUGAAGUAGGUCCCAAGGGUAUGGCUGUUCGCCAUUUAAAGUGGUACGCGAGCUGGGUUUAGAACGUCGUGAGACAGUUCGGUCCCUAUCUGCCGUGGGCGCUGGAGAAUUGAGGGGGGCUGCUCCUAGUACGAGAGGACCGGAGUGGACGCAUCACUGGUGUUCGGGUUGUCAUGCCAAUGGCACUGCCCGGUAGCUAAAUGCGGAAGAGAUAAGUGCUGAAAGCAUCUAAGCACGAAACUUGCCCGAGAUGAGUUCUCCCUGAGACUUUAAGUCUCCUGAAGGAACGUUAAAGACGAUGACGUUGAUAGGCCGGGUGUGUAAGCGCAGCGAUGCGUUGAGCUAACCGGUACUAAUGAACCGUGAGGCUUAACCUU